GGGAGUUUGGCCGAGUGGUUAAGGCGCUGUGUUUAGGUCUUCUUCAAGAACAUCUUGAACCCCUUCCCGCAGUGGGAAACCGCGCAGGUUCGAAUCCUGCAGCUCUCA
This 108-nucleotide transfer RNA is filed under the name Hypoxylon sp. FL0890. RNAcentral describes it as "tRNA-Leu". It matches the Rfam family "tRNA". Rfam says of the family: Transfer RNA (tRNA) molecules are approximately 80 nucleotides in length. Their secondary structure includes four short double-helical elements and three loops (D, anti-codon, and T loops). The record is from RNAcentral. Lineage: Eukaryota; Fungi; Ascomycota; Sordariomycetes; Xylariales; Hypoxylaceae.